GUUGAUAGAUGGGAAUUGUUUUAGAAUUUUUAAGCAAUAUGUUGCAUUUUUUAAAUAUAUUUUAUAAGAACUACUAUUUUAGGAAAGUCGUCAUUUUUCUAGAGAAAUAUUGUAGAUUUGGGAUUGUGAUUGAAAAAUUAGGAUAACAAGAGUUUUUGUUGAUAGAUGGGCAUUCUUUUAGAAUGUUUGAUCAAUAGAUUUAAUUUUAAAUAAUAUUUUUAAAAAUUGCUGUUUUGGGAAAAUCAUCAAUUCUGUGUAGAAAUUUUGUAGAUUUGAAAUUGCGAUUAGGCAAUUGAGAUAACAAGAGUUUUCGUUGAUAGAUGGGCAUUUGAUAAGAAUUUUUGAAUACUAUUUUGUAUUUUUCAAAUAAAUAUUUCUGAAACUGCUAUUUUAAGAAAGUUAUCAGUUUGUACAUAAAUAUUGUCGAUUUGGGAUUGCGAUUGAGAAAUUAGAGUAACAAGAGUUUUUGUUGAUAUUUGGACGUUCUUUUAGAAUUUUUGAGCAAUAUGUUGCAUUUUUAAAGAAAUUUUCUACAAACUGAUAUUUAAGGAAACUUAUCAUUUUUGUAAAGAAAUAUUGUAGAUUUGGGAUUAUGAUUGAGAAAUUAGGAUAUCAAUAGUUUUUGUUGAUAGAUGGACAUUGUUUUAGAAUUUUAAAGCAAUAGGUUGCAUUUUUUAAAGAAAUUUUCUAAAAACUACUAUUUUAGGAAAAUUAUUACUUUGUAGAGAAAUAUUGUAGAUUUGGGAUUGUGAUUGAGAAAUUAGGAUAACAAGAGUUUUUGUUGAUAGAUGGACAUUCUUUUAGAUUUUUUAAACAAUAGGUUGCAUCUUUUAAAUAAAUGUUCUAAUAACUUCUAUUUUAGGAAAAUUAUUAUUUUUGUAGAGAAAUAUGAUAGAUUUGAGAUUGUGAUUUAGAAAUUAGAAUAACAAGAACUUUUUUUUAUAGAUGAGCAUUAUUUAAGAAUUUUUGAUCAAUACGUUUUAUUUUUAAAUAAAUUUUCUAAAAAGUGCUAUUUUGGGAAUGUUAUCAAUUUUGUAGAGAAUAAUGUAGAUUUGCGAUUAUGAUUGGGAAAGUAGAAUAACAAGAGUUUUUGCUGAUCGAUGUGCAUUCUCUUAAAAAUUUUGAUCAAUAUGUUGCAUUUUUAAUGAAUUAGGAUAACAAGAGUUUUUUUGAUAGAUGAGCAUUUUUUUAGAAUUUUUGAUCAAUAGGUUUUAUUUUUAAAUAAAUUUUCUAAAAAGUGGUACAUGGAGAAAGUUAUCAAUUUUGUACAUAAAUAUUGUAGAUUUGUGAUUGUGAUUGAAAAAUUAGGAUAACAAGAAUUUUUGUUGAUCGAUGGCCAUUCUUUUAGAAUUUUUGACCAAUAUGUUGCAUUUUUAAAUAUAUUUUAUAAAAAUUAUUAUUUUUGGACUGUCAUCAUUUUUGUAGGGAUAAAUAUUGUAGAUUUGAGAUUAUGAUUGAGAAAUUAGGAUAACAAGAGUUUUUGUUGAUAGAGAGGCUUUUUUUAGAAUGUCUGAUAAAUAGGUUUCAUUUUAAAUAAAUUUUUUAAAAAUUGCUUUUUUUGAGAAAAUCAUCAAUUCUGUAUAGAAAUAUUGUAGAUUUGAAAUUGUGAUUAUGCAAUUGAGAUAACAAGAGUUUUUGUUGAUAGAUGGGCAUUUGAUAAGAAUUUUUGAAUACUAUUUUGUAUUUUUCAAAUAAAUAUUUCUGAAACCGCUAUUUUAAGAAAGUUAUCAGUUUGUACAGAAAUAUUGUCGAUUUGGGAUUACGAUUGAGAAAUUAGAGUAACAAGAGUUUUUGUUAAUAUAUGGACAUUCUUUUAGAAUUUUUGAGCAAUACAGUUUUAAAGAAAUUUUCUAAAAACUGCUAUUUUAGGAAACUUAUCAUUUUUGUAAAGAAAUAUUGUAGAUUUGAAAUUGUGAUUAAGCAAUGGGAAUAACAAGAGUUUUUGUUGAUAGAUGGGAAUUGUUUUAGAAUUUUUAAGCAAUAUGUUGCAUUUUUUAAAUAUAUUUUAUAAGAACUACUAUUUUAGGAAAGUCGUCAUUUUUCUAGAGAAAUAUUGUAGAUUUGGGAUUGUGAUUGAAAAAUUAGGAUAACAAGAGUUUUUGUUGAUAGAUGGGCAUUCUUUUAGAAUGUUUGAUCAAUAGAUUUAAUUUUAAAUAAUAUUUUUAAAAAUUGCUGUUUUGGGAAAAUCAUCAAUUCUGUGUAGAAAUUUUGUAGAUUUGAAAUUGCGAUUAGGCAAUUGAGAUAACAAGAGUUUUCGUUGAUAGAUGGGCAUUUGAUAAGAAUUUUUGAAUACUAUUUUGUAUUUUUCAAAUAAAUAUUUCUGAAACUGCUAUUUUAAGAAAGUUAUCAGUUUGUACAUAAAUAUUGUCGAUUUGGGAUUGCGAUUGAGAAAUUAGAGUAACAAGAGUUUUUGUUGAUAUUUGGACGUUCUUUUAGAAUUUUUGAGCAAUAUGUUGCAUUUUUAAAGAAAUUUUCUACAAACUGAUAUUUAAGGAAACUUAUCAUUUUUGUAAAGAAAUAUUGUAGAUUUGGGAUUAUGAUUGAGAAAUUAGGAUAUCAAUAGUUUUUGUUGAUAGAUGGACAUUGUUUUAGAAUUUUAAAGCAAUAGGUUGCAUUUUUUAAAGAAAUUUUCUAAAAACUACUAUUUUAGGAAAAUUAUUACUUUGUAGAGAAAUAUUGUAGAUUUGGGAUUGUGAUUGAGAAAUUAGGAUAACAAGAGUUUUUGUUGAUAGAUGGACAUUCUUUUAGAUUUUUUAAACAAUAGGUUGCAUCUUUUAAAUAAAUGUUCUAAUAACUUCUAUUUUAGGAAAAUUAUUAUUUUUGUAGAGAAAUAUGAUAGAUUUGAGAUUGUGAUUUAGAAAUUAGAAUAACAAGAACUUUUUUUUAUAGAUGAGCAUUAUUUAAGAAUUUUUGAUCAAUACGUUUUAUUUUUAAAUAAAUUUUCUAAAAAGUGCUAUUUUGGGAAUGUUAUCAAUUUUGUAGAGAAUAAUGUAGAUUUGCGAUUAUGAUUGGGAAAGUAGAAUAACAAGAGUUUUUGCUGAUCGAUGUGCAUUCUCUUAAAAAUUUUGAUCAAUAUGUUGCAUUUUUAAUUAUAUUUUAUAAAAAUUAUUAUUUUUGGACUGUCAUCAUUUUUGUAGGGAUAAAUAUUGUAGAUUUGAGAUUAUUAUUGAGAAAUUGGGAUAACAAGAGUUUUUAUUGAUAGAUGGGCAUUCUUUUAGAAUGUUUGAUCAAUAUGUUUAAUUUUAAUUAAAUUUUUUAAAAAUUGCUUUUUUGGGAAAAUCAUCAAUUCUGUAUAGAAAUAUUGUAGAUUUGAAAUUGUGAUUAAGCAAUUGAGAUAACAAGAGUUUUUGUUGAUAGAUGGACAUUUGAUAAGAAUUUUUGAAUACUAUUUUGUAUUUUUCAAAUAAAUAUUUCUGAAACCGCUAUUUUAAAAAAGUUAUCAGUUUGUACCGAAAUAUUGUCGAUUUGAGAUUGGGAUUGAGAAAUUAGAGUAACAAAAGUUUUUGUUGAUAUAAGAACAUUCUUUUAGAAUUUUUGAGCAAUACGUUGCAUUUUUAAAGAAAUUUUCUAAAAACUGCUAUUUUAGGAAACUUAUCAUUUUUGUAAAGAGAUAUUGUAGAUUUGGGAUUGUGAUUAAGCAACGGGAAUAACAAGAGUUUUUGUUGAUAGAUGGGAAAUGUUUUAGAAUUUUUAAACAAUAUGUUGCAUUUUUUAAUUAUAUUUUAUAAGAACUACUAUUUUUGGAAAGUCGUCAUUUUUGUAGAGAAAUAUUGUAGAUUUGGGAUUGUGAUUGAGAAAUUAGGUAACAAGAGUUUUUGUCGAUAGAUGGGCAUUCUUUUAGAAUGUUUGAUCAAUAGGUUUAAUUUUAAAUAAUAUUUUUAAAAAUUGCUUUUUUGGGAAAAUCAUCAAUUCUGUGUAGAAAUAUUGUAGAUUUGAAAUUGCGAUUAGGCAAUUGAGAUAACAAGAGUUUUUGUCGGUAGAUGGGCAUUUGAUAAGAAUUUUUGAAUACUAUUUUGUAUUUUUCAAAUAAAUAUUUCUAAAACAGCUAUUUUAAAAAAGUUAUCAGUUUGUACAUAAAUAUUGUCGAUUUGGGAUUGCGAUUGAGAAAUUAGAGUAACAAGAGUUUUUGUUGAUAUUUGGACAUUCUUUUAGAAUUUUUGAGCAAUAUGUUGUAUUUUAAAGAAAUUUUCUAAAAACUGCUAUUUUAGGAAACAUAUCAUUUUUGUAAAGAGAUAUUGUAGAUUUGGGAUUGUGAUUGAGAAAUUAGGAUAUCAAUAGUUUUUGUUGAUAGAUGGGCAUUGUUUUAGAAUUUUUAAGCAAUAGGUUGCAUUUUUUAAAGAAAUUUUCUAAAAACUGCUAUUUUAGGAAAGUUAUUAUUUUUGUAGAGAAAUAUUGUAGAUUUGAGAUUGUGAUUUAGAAAUUAGGAUAACAAGAACUUUUUUUUAUAGAUGAGCAUUAUUUAAGAGUUUUUGAUCAAUACGUUUUAUGUUUAAAUAAAUUUUCUAAAAAGUGCUAUUUUGGGAAAGUUAUCAAUUUUGUAGAGAAAUAAUGUAGAUUUGCGAUUAUGAUUGGGAAAUU
RNAcentral lists this long non-coding RNA (4578 nucleotides) under Brassica napus (rape). RNAcentral's name for it is "long non-coding RNA (BNAP_LNC012953)". The record is from RNAcentral. Lineage: Eukaryota; Viridiplantae; Streptophyta; Magnoliopsida; Brassicales; Brassicaceae.